Molecule: ribosomal RNA, 446 nt
Filed under: uncultured bacterium
Lineage: Bacteria
Description: partial 16S ribosomal RNA
Rfam family: Bacterial small subunit ribosomal RNA
Source: RNAcentral
CCUACGGGUGGCAGCAGUCGAGAAUUAUUCACAAUGGGGGAAACCCUGAUGGUGCGACGCCGCGUGGGGGAAUGAAGGUCUUCGGAUUGUAAACCCCUGUCAUGUGGGAGCAAAUUAAAAAGAUAGUACCACAAGAGGAAGAGACGGCUAACUCUGUGCCAGCAGCCGCGGUAAUACAGAGGUCUCAAGCGUUGUUCGGAAUCACUGGGCGUAAAGCGUGCGUAGGCUGUUUCGUAAGUCGUGUGUGAAAGGCGCGGGCUCAACCCGCGGACGGCACAUGAUACUGCGAGACUAGAGUGAUGGAGGGGGAACCGGAAUUCUCGGUGUAGCAGUGAAAUGCGUAGAUAUCGAGAGGAACACUCGUGGCGAAGGCGGGUUCCUGGACAUUAACUGACGCUGAGGCACGAAGGCGAGGGGAGCGAAAGGGAUUAGAUACCCUAGUAGUC